UCUUUGUUCCGCCCGACUGUUUCUCUCCGCCUGUCGGACGCACGCACACCUUUUCUUGUCUUUUUCUUUUCUGAAGUAACCUUUCAUUUUCCAUCGUCUACUUUAAAAAAAAAGAAAGAAAGAAAACGCGUCAAAUGUCUUUCUUUCAACCGUUGAAUCUUGACCUAAAGAGGAAAAGUCGUCAACGUAUUUGUCGCUUUUGUAGCAACGGAACAGCGUUUUUUCGUAUCGGCACGGGGGACUAUUUUAGUUCGCCGGGUGAGUGAGUAUGUAUCGAGCUUUCAGUCGUGAUUUUCCAGCCUGCGCUUCUCCUUUUGGAAGAUCCAGCCAACGGAGGCGUUUUGAAGACUCGUAUCAGAGGGAAUCAAGUCCCUCUGGUUGUUGCAAUGCCAACUGUUUGCCAACAGAGGUUGAUAAAGGUCAUGCAUUGCUCAAUGGAGCUGUAUCUCAUCGUCUUGUUGUUCCUCAUCGUUUGAAACACACAGUCCCCGUCGACGUAGGACCAUCGUGACCGCCGUCAGUCAUUUUCCACCGUGACGAUGACUGGAAAUAGAGGAACUUAAAGGUUCAAGAACCACAAAGCUGAGGAACUAUACAUUCUGCUUUGGUGUAUUCUUUUCAUCCCCGCCGCAUCUCAACCACCGGGGCCAGGACGUGUUUUAUGAUCCUUUCUGUUUUGUUUUUUAUUGUUUUUAUAUACAUUUUCAUAAAGAUUCAGUGACUUGUCGGGUGCCUCGGGACGCCGUGCUGACCUGAUGUUUGCACAGAGGGCCCCGUCAGCCUGGAAGACGUUUCAUCAGAGUGGAAGGGGACAAGGAAAAAAAAAAAAUGGUGGAUCUGCAGAUGCUCUGGACAGGGAGGUGAGCAAACAAUCACCAAGAGCAGGUGCCUUUUGAUGGACAAGGCUGCCAGCGCAAAGGCUGCAUGUCAGCCAAGCGUUCCACUUCCUCCCGCGAUACUCCACGCCAAAGAGAAUCCUCUCCGUCUCCGCGGCGCAGUGAAAGAAGUUGAAAAGGACGUCUGGGUAUUUUAAAUGGCUAAACCGGAAGAGUCACCCCGUGCAACGUGAAGGCAUUUGAAAAUAUAACUUUUGUCUUUUUUCAUAAUGUGCAACUGUCAGGAUCUGUAGUGUUGUUUCGUGUUUCCUGUCUUAUUUUGAAGUCCUUGU
Molecule: long non-coding RNA, 1168 nt
Organism: Cyclopterus lumpus (lumpfish)
Lineage: Eukaryota; Metazoa; Chordata; Actinopteri; Perciformes; Cyclopteridae
Exons: 4
Source: RefSeq, a predicted model, not a curated record